GACGAACGCUGGCGGCGUGCUUAACACAUGCAAGUCGAACGAUGAUCCCCCGCUUGCGGGGGUGAUUAGUGGCGAACGGGUGAGUAAUACGUGAGUAACCUGCCCUUGACUCUGGGAUAAGCCUGGAAGACCGGGUCUAAUACUUGAUACUACUUCCUGCCGCAUGGUGGGGGGUGGAGAUGGUUUUACUGGUGGUGGGUGGGCUCGCGGCCUAUAGGCUUGUUGGUGGAGUGAUUGCUCACCCAGCCGACCGCGGGUCGCCGGCCAGUGGGGGUGACCGGCCACACUGGGACUGAGACACGGCCGAGGCGCCGACGAGAGGCAGCAGGGGGGAAUCUUGAUCCAGGCGCGGCGGCUGGAUGAAGAAGGGCUGCGUGUGGGAUGACGGCUUUCUGGUUGUAGACCAGUUUCAGGAUAGAAGAAGCCUCUAGUGACGGUACCUGAAGAAGAAGCGCCGGCUAACUACGUG
RNAcentral lists this ribosomal RNA (469 nucleotides) under uncultured bacterium. RNAcentral describes it as "partial 16S ribosomal RNA". It matches the Rfam family "Bacterial small subunit ribosomal RNA", at positions 28 to 507 of the family's 1533-position model. The record is from RNAcentral.